Molecule: ribosomal RNA, 434 nt
Filed under: uncultured Lachnospiraceae bacterium
Lineage: Bacteria; Bacillati; Bacillota; Clostridia; Lachnospirales; Lachnospiraceae
Description: bacterial SSU rRNA
Rfam family: Bacterial small subunit ribosomal RNA
Source: RNAcentral
ACGGAAGGCAGCAGUGGGGAAUAUUGCACAAUGGGCGCAAGCCUGAUGCAGCGAUGCCGCGUGAGGGAAGAAGGUUUUCGGAUUGUAAACCUCUGUCAUCGGGGACGAUAAUGACUGUACCCGAGAAGGAAGCUCCGGCUAACUACGUGCCAGCAGCCGCGGUAAUACGUAGGGGGCAAGCGUUAUCCGGAUUUACUGGGUGUAAAGGGAGCGUAGACGGUUUUGCAAGUCUGAAGUGAAAUGCGGGGGCUCAACCCCUGAACUGCUUUGGAAACUGUAGAACUAGAGUGCAGGAGAGGUAAGCGGAAUUCCUAGUGUAGCGGUGAAAUGCGUAGAUAUUAGGAGGAACACCAGUGGCGAAGGCGGCUUACUGGACUGUAACUGACGUUGAGGCUCGAAGGCGUGGGGAGCAAACAGGAUUAGAUACCCUGGUA